UACGUAGGGUGCAAGCGUUGUCCGGAAUUAUUGGGCGUAAAGAGCUCGUAGGCGGUUUGUCGCGUCGGCUGUGAAAACUCGGGGCUCAACCCCGAGCCUGCAGUCGAUACGGGCAGACUAGAGUGCUGUAGGGGAGACUGGAAUUCCUGGUGUAGCGGUGAAAUGCGCAGAAUAUCAGGAGGAGCACCGGUGGCGAAGGCGGGUCUCUGGGCGAGUGAACUGACGCUGGAGGAGCGAAAGCGUGGGAGCAAACAGGA
RNAcentral lists this ribosomal RNA (257 nucleotides) under uncultured bacterium. Its description in RNAcentral is "partial 16S ribosomal RNA". It matches the Rfam family "Bacterial small subunit ribosomal RNA", at positions 524 to 777 of the family's 1533-position model. The record is from RNAcentral.